This is a long non-coding RNA of Papilio polytes (common Mormon), 1802 nucleotides long. RefSeq lists it as uncharacterized. NCBI's taxonomy places the organism in Eukaryota, Metazoa, Arthropoda, Insecta, Lepidoptera, Papilionidae. The transcript is spliced from 2 exons. The record is from RefSeq and is a predicted model, not a curated record.
CGAAGGGAGUGUUAUGCUGACUGCGCGUUUUAUUUUCAUAGAACGAUGCGUGUGCGAGCCAGCGUGUGUGGAGCCGCGCGGGGGCGCGCUGGGUCCGCGGACGCAGCUCCGAGCCGUUGGUCAGCCGCUCGCGCCCCCCUCAAUCGGCAGCGCACUACGCGCGGUAACGCCGCACACCAUCUGGCGGAACACUUGCGCCCGUCGUCGGUCGCACGACAUCCUCGCAAUCACUGAUUUCAUUGCAAGACAAGCAAAUCAUUUCUCUAUUUCGUGUGGAACUUAUUAACUGAUUGAUGGCCUCACUGGAAGCGUGGUAAUUACAUCAUUUUAUUACCGAAUUCCGGCCAAACGUUACCGCUCUAGCCUGGACGCUUAGCCGACUUUAAAGUGACUUUUUUUGUUACUGAAUUGCCACUGUUUGCCUUGAAAAGGCAUUUACAGAUUCACCGGGCUUGAAGUGGCCGAGCGCAGAUGGCGCUUAGCCUAAAUCUCGUUUAUAGGUAACUAAGCUCGAGGGCUAGGCACGGGCCGUUACCUUGUUAUUACCGGAUGGGGAAGCCGCCGAGCUCUUAGGUCGCUUCGAACGUACUUAGUUUGUGAGAGGGUCUCGAAACAUAGUCCUCCACCUAUGUGGCACCAUGACUCUUCAGACUUGGCUCGAUUGAGAUGUCAAAUGAUUUUUACGAGUAAAUUUCCUUGUGUGACUUGGCCUCUCAUCGUACACGCAAUGUUUUUCAAUUUAGUUAUUGUAAGUGUCAUAUACACUUACUUACAAUAACUACAAGUACCUAAACUCAAGAGCAUUAAAACCAGGUCACUUAAAAAAUCAAAAAACCUGUCAUGGCCAUGUAGAAGGAGUGAAGUGGAGGAAAGAAGAAUCUCAUAAACUAAGAAUUAAACAGUGUUAAAUAGACAUUAAUACUCUUAUACCCGUUAAAUUAUAAUAAUAAUAUACUCGUAUGUUAGUCAGUACAUUUUAUUAAUUGAAAAUUAUAUAAGUAAAAAACUCUCCUUUAAGACAAAAAUAAAAAACAUGUUAACUAUAUUUGUGCAACAAUACGAUUUUCAUUCAUUUUAAUUUUUUUUUCAAUAUUUUUAAGCAACACGGAUAGUAUCUAUAACAAGUUGCGUGUGACAGACACAUAGGAGUAGUUGGUGUUUUUAAUUAACCUUGGUAACUAUUUUCGAGGUUUAUUAAAUUGGAUGUCUUGUAUACAUACAUACGUGUAGCGAGUAUUGUAAGAUUGUGACAGUUAGCGCGGGCAGGGGCGGCGGGGCGGCGGGGCCGGGGGGCAGGGAGCAGAUGUCGCGGCGAGGCGAGCGCAUUCCGCUGCCCGUGCCGGCUGCUCCACGGCCAAACGGGUUUCAUAGCCAUGGCCAUGAUGAAGUCGACGACACCUUAAUGAUAAUAUACGAUAGAAGAGCUAUUUCGAGAGCAUCCGUCGUCGCGGAGCCGCCGCACUGCCGCCACUCCCGAACCCGGCUUAUUCCACCGUCGCCAGCGACCAGAGGCGGCAGAGGCAGGGGCAGGGGCAGGGGCAGCGGCAGCAGCCUCAGCGACUGCAAAAUAUUUCUGAUGAGAUAAUGGAAAAUGUACAAUAGCUUGUUAUAUGAAUUUAUCGGCAUAUUUUUAAGCUUAACAGGCAAUAUAACUAAUAAUACUGAUAAAGUGUUUCGUAAAACGGCGCUGAGGAAUCUUGUGACGAAUCAUGUUGGUCUGGAGGGCGCGGCGGUGACCCGCGGUGUAGAACAUGUAUUACUUUUAUAAUUUGGUUUAAUAAAGAAGUUUGCAACUACUGAAA